CCGGCGGAGAAUUAGAAGCACCUGUGAAACUCGUACUAUGUGGUGAAAUGAUCGACCUUGCUACUCAAGUAGAUACCAAACAUGCCAAAACAGUUGCAGGUGAUUCCUUUGCCGGGUUUGAAAUCCUUGGUAAAUCACAAACAGAGAGUCUGUGAAAAAGUCAGUUUUCGACUUCCACGGCCACGUCAAGAGCACCGCCAGCUGACGGCGGUAAGUGUGACAUCAGGCCUAUUGCGUACCAUCCCGACCAUAACACUGCGGUGGUAUCGUCCGCUUCUCUCCCCAACACGGAAACCGGAAGCGGAAAACGAGCCUUAGGACUUGGGGAAAGAGUUCCAUAUACGGACGCCAAAGUUGUCAAGGGGAAUCGCUUGCAACUCACUGGACAGCAAAACAGGAUGACCCAAGGAGUGUAAUGGCAGGAUUCAUCGUCCACCAGUAUUUCUUUGAUGCAAGGAAAAGAUUAAAAGAGGACAUUGACUGAGAGAUGACCGUCCAAUCAUGGUGGGUGGAAGGGGUCACUUCGGAGGUCUUUCUAAGCAAAAGAUCCAGGUUUCAGUGUAUGAAUCAUCCAGUGGGCUUCAAAGCUAAACCAGUCAGCUAACCAGCCAGCCAACCGAUCAACCAGUCAGUUAUGCUAGACAGCCAACAUUUGCCAGGCGUCAGUGUUGCUGGAAGUCUUUGGACCAGCCAGUCAGCCCACCAGCCACCCAACCAGUCAUCCAUGCAGUCACUGUCAGUCAUGCUAGAGUGUCAAUGUUAGCUAGGCGUCCAUGUUGCUGGAAGUCUUUGGACCAGUCAGUCAGCCCACCAGCCAACCAACAGUCAUCCAGUCACUGUCAGUCAUGCUACACAGUCAACGUUAGCUAGGCGUCCAUGUUGCUGGAAGUCUUUGGACCAGUCAGGCAGCAGAGCAGUACUUAACAAUAGUAAAGCUACUUUCUAA
This is a long non-coding RNA of Acanthaster planci (crown-of-thorns starfish), 946 nucleotides long. RefSeq lists it as uncharacterized. NCBI's taxonomy places the organism in Eukaryota, Metazoa, Echinodermata, Asteroidea, Valvatida, Acanthasteridae. The record is from RefSeq and is a predicted model, not a curated record.